Molecule: unclassified non-coding RNA, 400 nt
Filed under: uncultured fungus
Lineage: Eukaryota; Fungi
Description: sequence contains ITS1
Rfam family: 5.8S ribosomal RNA (bases 1-105)
Source: RNAcentral
GAAAUGCGAUACGUAAUGUGAAUUGCAGAAUUCAGUGAAUCAUCGAAUCUUUGAACGCAUAUUGCGCUCUUUGGUAUUCCGAAGAGCAUGCUUGUUUGAGUAUCAGUAAACACCUCAAAGCCUUUUUUCUUUUUUGAAGAAAGGCUUUGGACUUGAGCAAUCCCAACACCAAUCUUUUUAAAGAGAGGGGGCGGGUUGCUUGAAAUGCAGGUGCAGCUGGACAUUCUCCUGAGCUAAAAGCAUAUUCAUUUAGUCCCGUCAAACGGAUUAUUACUUUUGCUGCAGCUAACAUAAAGGGAGUUUGACCAUUUUGGCUGACUGAUGCAGGAUUUUCACAAGAGUCUUCAAAACCUCUUGUUAAACUCGAUCUCAAAUCAAGUAAGACUACCCGCUGAACUUA